Molecule: ribosomal RNA, 2916 nt
Filed under: Staphylococcus aureus
Lineage: Bacteria; Bacillati; Bacillota; Bacilli; Caryophanales; Staphylococcaceae
Description: bacterial LSU rRNA
Rfam family: Bacterial large subunit ribosomal RNA
Source: RNAcentral
UAAGUUAUUAAGGGCGCACGGUGGAUGCCUUGGCACUAGAAGCCGAUGAAGGACGUUACUAACGACGAUAUGCUUUGGGGAGCUGUAAGUAAGCUUUGAUCCAGAGAUUUCCGAAUGGGGAAACCCAGCAUGAGUUAUGUCAUGUUAUCGAUAUGUGAAUACAUAGCAUAUCAGAAGGCACACCCGGAGAACUGAAACAUCUUAGUACCCGGAGGAAGAGAAAGAAAAUUCGAUUCCCUUAGUAGCGGCGAGCGAAACGGGAAGAGCCCAAACCAACAAGCUUGCUUGUUGGGGUUGUAGGACACUCUAUACGGAGUUACAAAGGACGACAUUAGACGAAUCAUCUGGAAAGAUGAAUCAAAGAAGGUAAUAAUCCUGUAGUCGAAAAUGUUGUCUCUCUUGAGUGGAUCCUGAGUACGACGGAGCACGUGAAAUUCCGUCGGAAUCUGGGAGGACCAUCUCCUAAGGCUAAAUACUCUCUAGUGACCGAUAGUGAACCAGUACCGUGAGGGAAAGGUGAAAAGCACCCCGGAAGGGGAGUGAAAUAGAACCUGAAACCGUGUGCUUACAAGUAGUCAGAGCCCGUUAAUGGGUGAUGGCGUGCCUUUUGUAGAAUGAACCGGCGAGUUACGAUUUGAUGCAAGGUUAAGCAGUAAAUGUGGAGCCGUAGCGAAAGCGAGUCUGAAUAGGGCGUUUAGUAUUUGGUCGUAGACCCGAAACCAGGUGAUCUACCCUUGGUCAGGUUGAAGUUCAGGUAACACUGAAUGGAGGACCGAACCGACUUACGUUGAAAAGUGAGCGGAUGAACUGAGGGUAGCGGAGAAAUUCCAAUCGAACCUGGAGAUAGCUGGUUCUCUCCGAAAUAGCUUUAGGGCUAGCCUCAAGUGAUGAUUAUUGGAGGUAGAGCACUGUUUGGACGAGGGGCCCCUCUCGGGUUACCGAAUUCAGACAAACUCCGAAUGCCAAUUAAUUUAACUUGGGAGUCAGAACAUGGGUGAUAAGGUCCGUGUUCGAAAGGGAAACAGCCCAGACCACCAGCUAAGGUCCCAAAAUAUAUGUUAAGUGGAAAAGGAUGUGGCGUUGCCCAGACAACUAGGAUGUUGGCUUAGAAGCAGCCAUCAUUUAAAGAGUGCGUAAUAGCUCACUAGUCGAGUGACACUGCGCCGAAAAUGUACCGGGGCUAAACAUAUUACCGAAGCUGUGGAUUGUCCUUUGGACAAUGGUAGGAGAGCGUUCUAAGGGCGUUGAAGCAUGAUCGUAAGGACAUGUGGAGCGCUUAGAAGUGAGAAUGCCGGUGUGAGUAGCGAAAGACGGGUGAGAAUCCCGUCCACCGAUUGACUAAGGUUUCCAGAGGAAGGCUCGUCCGCUCUGGGUUAGUCGGGUCCUAAGCUGAGGCCGACAGGCGUAGGCGAUGGAUAACAGGUUGAUAUUCCUGUACCACCUAUAAUCGUUUUAAUCGAUGGGGGGACGCAGUAGGAUAGGCGAAGCGUGCGAUUGGAUUGCACGUCUAAGCAGUAAGGCUGAGUAUUAGGCAAAUCCGGUACUCGUUAAGGCUGAGCUGUGAUGGGGAGAAGACAUUGUGUCUUCGAGUCGUUGAUUUCACACUGCCGAGAAAAGCCUCUAGAUAGAAAAUAGGUGCCCGUACCGCAAACCGACACAGGUAGUCAAGAUGAGAAUUCUAAGGUGAGCGAGCGAACUCUCGUUAAGGAACUCGGCAAAAUGACCCCGUAACUUCGGGAGAAGGGUGCUCUUUAGGGUUAACGCCCAGAAGAGCCGCAGUGAAUAGGCCCAAGCGACUGUUUAUCAAAAACACAGGUCUCUGCUAAACCGUAAGGUGAUGUAUAGGGGCUGACGCCUGCCCGGUGCUGGAAGGUUAAGAGGAGUGGUUAGCUUCUGCGAAGCUACGAAUCGAAGCCCCAGUAAACGGCGGCCGUAACUAUAACGGUCCUAAGGUAGCGAAAUUCCUUGUCGGGUAAGUUCCGACCCGCACGAAAGGCGUAACGAUUUGGGCACUGUCUCAACGAGAGACUCGGUGAAAUCAUAGUACCUGUGAAGAUGCAGGUUACCCGCGACAGGACGGAAAGACCCCGUGGAGCUUUACUGUAGCCUGAUAUUGAAAUUCGGCACAGCUUGUACAGGAUAGGUAGGAGCCUUUGAAACGUGAGCGCUAGCUUACGUGGAGGCGCUGGUGGGAUACUACCCUAGCUGUGUUGGCUUUCUAACCCGCACCACUUAUCGUGGUGGGAGACAGUGUCAGGCGGGCAGUUUGACUGGGGCGGUCGCCUCCUAAAAGGUAACGGAGGCGCUCAAAGGUUCCCUCAGAAUGGUUGGAAAUCAUUCAUAGAGUGUAAAGGCAUAAGGGAGCUUGACUGCGAGACCUACAAGUCGAGCAGGGUCGAAAGACGGACUUAGUGAUCCGGUGGUUCCGCAUGGAAGGGCCAUCGCUCAACGGAUAAAAGCUACCCCGGGGAUAACAGGCUUAUCUCCCCCAAGAGUUCACAUCGACGGGGAGGUUUGGCACCUCGAUGUCGGCUCAUCGCAUCCUGGGCUGUAGUCGGUCCCAAGGGUUGGGCUGUUCGCCCAUUAAAGCGGUACGCGAGCUGGGUUCAGAACGUCGUGAGACAGUUCGGUCCCUAUCCGUCGUGGGCGUAGGAAAUUUGAGAGGAGCUGUCCUUAGUACGAGAGGACCGGGAUGGACAUACCUCUGGUGUACCAGUUGUCGUGCCAACGGCAUAGCUGGGUAGCUAUGUGUGGACGGGAUAAGUGCUGAAAGCAUCUAAGCAUGAAGCCCCCUCAAGAUGAGAUUUCCCAACUUCGGUUAUAAGAUCCCUCAAAGAUGAUGAGGUUAAUAGGUUCGAGGUGGAAGCAUGGUGACAUGUGGAGCUGACGAAUACUAAUCGAUCGAAGACUUAAUCA